RNAcentral lists this ribosomal RNA (2460 nucleotides) under Escherichia coli. RNAcentral's name for it is "partial 23S ribosomal RNA". It matches the Rfam family "Bacterial large subunit ribosomal RNA", at positions 476 to 2915 of the family's 2925-position model. Lineage: Bacteria; Pseudomonadati; Pseudomonadota; Gammaproteobacteria; Enterobacterales; Enterobacteriaceae. The record is from RNAcentral.
CUGACUGACCGAUAGUGAACCAGUACCGUGAGGGAAAGGCGAAAAGAACCCCGGCGAGGGGAGUGAAAAAGAACCUGAAACCGUGUACGUACAAGCAGUGGGAGCACGCUUAGGCGUGUGACUGCGUACCUUUUGUAUAAUGGGUCAGCGACUUAUAUUCUGUAGCAAGGUUAACCGAAUAGGGGAGCCGAAGGGAAACCGAGUCUUAACUGGGCGUUAAGUUGCAGGGUAUAGACCCGAAACCCGGUGAUCUAGCCAUGGGCAGGUUGAAGGUUGGGUAACACUAACUGGAGGACCGAACCGACUAAUGUUGAAAAAUUAGCGGAUGACUUGUGGCUGGGGGUGAAAGGCCAAUCAAACCGGGAGAUAGCUGGUUCUCCCCGAAAGCUAUUUAGGUAGCGCCUCGUGAAUUCAUCUCCGGGGGUAGAGCACUGUUUCGGCAAGGGGGUCAUCCCGACUUACCAACCCGAUGCAAACUGCGAAUACCGGAGAAUGUUAUCACGGGAGACACACGGCGGGUGCUAACGUCCGUCGUGAAGAGGGAAACAACCCAGACCGCCAGCUAAGGUCCCAAAGUCAUGGUUAAGUGGGAAACGAUGUGGGAAGGCCCAGACAGCCAGGAUGUUGGCUUAGAAGCAGCCAUCAUUUAAAGAAAGCGUAAUAGCUCACUGGUCGAGUCGGCCUGCGCGGAAGAUGUAACGGGGCUAAACCAUGCACCGAAGCUGCGGCAGCGACGCUGAUGCGUUGUUGGGUAGGGGAGCGUUCUGUAAGCCUGUGAAGGUGUGCUGUGAGGCAUGCUGGAGGUAUCAGAAGUGCGAAUGCUGACAUAAGUAACGAUAAAGCGGGUGAAAAGCCCGCUCGCCGGAAGACCAAGGGUUCCUGUCCAACGUUAAUCGGGGCAGGGUGAGUCGACCCCUAAGGCGAGGCCGAAAGGCGUAGUCGAUGGGAAACAGGUUAAUAUUCCUGUACUUGGUGUUACUGCGAAGGGGGGACGGAGAAGGCUAUGUUGGCCGGGCGACGGUUGUCCCGGUUUAAGCGUGUAGGCUGGUUUUCCAGGCAAAUCCGGAAAAUCAAGGCUGAGGCGUGAUGACGAGGCACUACGGUGCUGAAGCAACAAAUGCCCUGCUUCCAGGAAAAGCCUCUAAGCAUCAGGUAACAUCAAAUCGUACCCCAAACCGACACAGGUGGUCAGGUAGAGAAUACCAAGGCGCUUGAGAGAACUCGGGUGAAGGAACUAGGCAAAAUGGUGCCGUAACUUCGGGAGAAGGCACGCUGAUAUGUAGGUGAAGCGACUUGCUCGUGGAGCUGAAAUCAGUCGAAGAUACCAGCUGGCUGCAACUGUUUAUUAAAAACACAGCACUGUGCAAACACGAAAGUGGACGUAUACGGUGUGACGCCUGCCCGGUGCCGGAAGGUUAAUUGAUGGGGUCAGCGCAAGCGAAGCUCUUGAUCGAAGCCCCGGUAAACGGCGGCCGUAACUAUAACGGUCCUAAGGUAGCGAAAUUCCUUGUCGGGUAAGUUCCGACCUGCACGAAUGGCGUAAUGAUGGCCAGGCUGUCUCCACCCGAGACUCAGUGAAAUUGAACUCGCUGUGAAGAUGCAGUGUACCCGCGGCAAGACGGAAAGACCCCGUGAACCUUUACUAUAGCUUGACACUGAACAUUGAGCCUUGAUGUGUAGGAUAGGUGGGAGGCUUUGAAGUGUGGACGCCAGUCUGCAUGGAGCCGGCCUUGAAAUACCACCCUUUAAUGUUUGAUGUUCUAACGUUGACCCGUGAUCCGGGUUGCGGACAGUGUCUGGUGGGUAGUUUGACUGGGGCGGUCUCCUCCUAAAGAGUAACGGAGGAGCACGAAGGUUGGCUAAUCCUGGUCGGACAUCAGGAGGUUAGUGCAAUGGCAUAAGCCAGCUUGACUGCGAGCGUGACGGCGCGAGCAGGUGCGAAAGCAGGUCAUAGUGAUCCGGUGGUUCUGAAUGGAAGGGCCAUCGCUCAACGGAUAAAAGGUACUCCGGGGAUAACAGGCUGAUACCGCCCAAGAGUUCAUAUCGACGGCGGUGUUUGGCACCUCGAUGUCGGCUCAUCACAUCCUGGGGCUGAAGUAGGUCCCAAGGGUAUGGCUGUUCGCCAUUUAAAGUGGUACGCGAGCUGGGUUUAGAACGUCGUGAGACAGUUCGGUCCCUAUCUGCCGUGGGCGCUGGAGAACUGAGGGGGGCUGCUCCUAGUACGAGAGGACCGGAGUGGACGCAUCACUGGUGUUCGGGUUGUCAUGCCAAUGGCACUGCCCGGUAGCUAAAUGCGGAAGAGAUAAGUGCUGAAAGCAUCUAAGCACGAAACUUGCCCCGAGAUGAGUUCUCCCUGACUCCUUGAGAGUCCUGAAGGAACGUUGAAGACGACGACGUUGAUAGGCCGGGUGUGUAAGCGCAGCGAUGCGUUGAGCUAACCGGUACUAAUGAACCGUGAGG